This is a long non-coding RNA of Lagopus leucura (white-tailed ptarmigan), 4968 nucleotides long. RefSeq lists it as uncharacterized. NCBI's taxonomy places the organism in Eukaryota, Metazoa, Chordata, Aves, Galliformes, Phasianidae. The transcript is spliced from 2 exons. The record is from RefSeq and is a predicted model, not a curated record.
UAAACAUGUAUAUAAUGUGAAUACGUUUGUUUUCCUCAAAAUCAGGCUUCAUUGAGUACAAAAGUCACAACUAAAUGAUGUGAAGAUUAAAUUAGGAAAAAAUAAUCAACAAUUUGCAUCCUAGAAGAGGCAAAUACAAAGCUAAUCUAAGGUUGCAGGAAAAGUGCAUCUGAGCUCUGUGGUGCUACAGCAGGAAGAUGAUGGAUAGAAGGGUAAAUCCAACUGGAGCUUUCAGAAUCUUGUUUGUAAAAAUUAUGCAACAUUAGAUAUGGACACAAGAUUGAAAUAUAUCAGAGCAAAUGUGGAUACUGAAGAUAUAUCUUUAUGAGCUGUCGAAAGUGAAGUAAAAAAAUAAAUGUUUUUCUUAACUUGUGCCCAUAAAUCAGUGAAUAAGAUGUUGUAGUGACUUGAUUGCAUGAGCAGUGCAGAGCAGGACUUUGAGAAGAUAACGCUUAGCACCUACUGGGACAAUUCACUACAUAUCCAGGCAGAGGAGAAGUGUAGAUCACAAGUGACACGCCCGUGACAGGAAAAUUGUUCCUGCUCACUCUUAUUUUGAAUUCAUACACGUUCACUUCAGCCACCUUUAUUUGAGAAGAUUUAGAUACUCCAUCCUUCAGUUGUGGCUCCACAGAGGCCUGAUUCAUGUUUACUGGUAGCUGAAAUGGAAGUGUUUACAAUGGUCACCAUCCCAGUUGGGGGAUCCCUCCGCUUUUCUCCCGGCAUUUGUUACCCUCUUAUGUUCUCAACAGAAGCAGCCAAUAAUAUAUACAGCAGCGUCUGAUCUGCAACAGUUGUGGUUUAUCACUCUGAAACUGAAGUGACUUCAGAAAUUUCAAGACACGGGGAUAAGCUCUGCCCCUUCUUUUCUAAUAGCUCUUCAGUGAAGGUAGAAAACAACUUUAGCGUGCAGAAUUGAUACUGGGAACAUGUCUUCUCCAUAUGAAAGAAAAACAUGCAGGACCAACAUUUUGGAAAGCUAAGGUGCAUUUGACAGUUAGAAAAAGAGUUUUGUCCACAGUCAGAACAGGUAGGGAAGAAGGAACAGAAAUAUGCAGUCAGGCAAGGCAGAAAGGUGGUGAAGGAUUAUAAAGAAGGCAAGAAUGACAGUUUCAGCUCUAGGUGAGCAAGUCUGAAAGGUAAAUAAUCUUAUUUUUGCCAUCAUAGGUGUUUCAGUCAUCAUUCAUCACAGAAAGACUUCAACAAGAAAGCACUCUAUUGACUCUGGCGUGCAUUUUGGUUUUCCCAGUGAGGAGACCAGAGGGAGGUAGACUUCCUCACUCAUUAAAAGAGGAGGAGAAUGACAUCAGAAUCUCCAGAGAUACUCUUGGAGAGAGUAAUAUCUGCUACAUCUGAAUGACUUCAGUUUUUCCCACCUUCUGGGCAGUGCAGCAGAUCUCAGUACAUCACAAACCUGCACAAGAUUGCUAUCUGAACACUACAAGUCUCUUCCCUCCAGGUGCCCAUCUCUGUCCAACUUUUGCAUUUUUGUGUUCAGGCCUCCUGGCAUAAGGAAGGAGAAUUGAGCCACGGGAUGGUGCAGCACCUGAGAGCUAUCAGACAUUCCCAUCUGUGUCUCAGGACCUGCCAGCACUUGCUCCUCAGAAAAUGAGCUUUGGGUUAUAUUUAGAUAUACGUGCAACAAAGCAAGGUAACACGGCAGUUAUUCUUCUCAAGCAGUUUUGUUAGGAAGCGUUUUGCAUGAUAGCUAACCACACAAACACGGCUAAUGGCUCUACCACCAGUGUAGAAUGCUCUGAUCAGCUCUUUUUACAGGCAGCUGGAGGAACAGCAGUGGGUGCGCCUGAGCAGUUUGGCCCCUCUCUUUCCUCCAACAACAAUUUCCAGAGAGAUUUAGGUAAAGGUCCUUACGUGCUGCUUUCCCAUGUACAUGUUCCCCGGGUACGAGGUACAAAUACUUCCUGCAAUGAUGAUUACACUCUUAUUACAAUGUUACACCCAUGUCUAACUUGCCCUCAGUGACUUCACCCUUAUGCAAGUUACAAAUGUAAUAACUCUUGUGAACAAACCAGCCAGCACAGUUUAACAGCUUUUAACCCUUAGCUAAGCAAUUUUAAAGUGGUACCUACAGAACUACAAACUCGUUGAAGUUCUUUGCCUACAUAAUAUCAAUGUUGCUGCUGAUGUUGUUAAGAUUCCUAAAUGUAAUGAGGCCACCAAGAGCUUUUUAAGUCAGUGUACAGCUAAGCAUCUGCAAUGGGCAAGAAAGGAGGGUAGGGCAGUGGGUGACUGUCCCCGCAGAUUCAGCUUCCUGGAAUGUUGCACACUCCUCCUUGUUCUUUUUGGUUUAAGGAUGGGGCACUUAUUGAGGCCUCCCUUCAUCAUCAUCAUGCCGUGUCCUUUUGGAACUGAAAACUUACAAAUCUAUCCAAAUUGAUACAGAUAUGGCAGUAGAGGUUUCUUUUCAUGGGGAAGGGAAAACAAGCAGCAAAAAAUAUGGAAUCAAAGGUUUUCUGUGAUGCAAUGGGGAGAAAAGAUGCACUAUGCUCCAUACUGUAGAGAACUCCCCCACACACUUUUGAUUAUUUGACAUAUUUUUACUUUUUUCACAGACAGUCAAGGAAACAUCGUAUCAGCCAGCUACCAAAGGACAGAAUUAUCAUUGUCUUAAAGUACUUUGGUCUUCUAAAACUAAACUAAGGUAUUUGACAAAAUGUCUUCUGGACCACCCUGGCAUGCUUUGAUUGUAGCCACCAGCCAGAGACUGAGAAUAUCAGGCCUUGAGGCAAGCUGUCUGUGACAGGUAAACAAGAUUAACAGAAGCUUGAACAAUUGUGGCUUCUCCCAAAAAUCCUUCCCACGUGGAUUGACAGUGCCUCUCUUCCACCCACAUUUAAUAUCAGUGAAUGCCACCAAGAAAAUGUGCCACCCACUGUCCCUUCAGAGCAGUCUCUCCAGCAGCACUGAAGCCAGACUGCUCUGAGCAGCAAGCAGCCCACACAGAGCAAUGCUGAGCAACCCGCUCUUCCACCCCACAACCCCCUGGCAUUUCUGCACACUUUCUGCUCUCCACCCUCUUCUACCUGUGUGCCUGUGCUCCCUGUGGUUAAGAGCUGUAAGAGCUGCAUUGGUGCUAGUAGGGUACAACAUGACCUAGAUGCUCCCUCAUGUCCAUCCAGAGUUGUGUUUGACAAGUCAAGGGGUGACUUUGAGACCGUACACACAUACAGAGCAGGUCCAUAGUCCAUAAGACAUGGCUUAGUGGGCAAGGUGGUGAUGGAUUGAUGGUUGGACUAGAUGAUCUUUUUCCAAUCAUAAUGAUCCUCUGAUUUUGAGAUCUCUCUGGCUGGAGCCACCCCAGGUGGCUGACGCAACAAAACAUGGGGUGUAUUUUUUUGUCAUUUUUUUGUCAUGCAGCCAGUGACAGUGGCACCCAAACACAAUGCAGCCUGGGCACUUGCCACCACUGAGGGCCAAAACACUGUCACAUGCUGUGGUUUACUGAGAAGUGUGGGGGUCAAUCAGGUCCUGACUCCAGAUAAGGCUUUGUGUCACCAUUCUAAGAGCAGGACUAUCAUCAGGUAGCACCUGGAUGCCAGCAACAUAGGCUGGCUUUCUUCCAUUAGAAAUCAGCUAAAUGAUUUUGAAGAGGUAUUCAGUGCUAUGAUGUAGCUUAUGUUUUACAGCCUGUGCUUCCCAGCUGUGCAAGCCAUGUGCUGCUGCCAGAGGGGCAUUAUCCCUGGUUAGGAGAUCACCCAGACUAAUAGGAACACCAGUAGGAAGGGCUGGAGCUCCUAUAUUCCCACAGCUAGCAAAUGAGAGUAGACACUGAGUGCUUCUGCUGUCAGACUGUUAGGAACUCAGGAAUAGGGCAUCAUAGGCAGUUAGGGAUAUGUGCACAGUGCAUGUUUGAGGGCCAGUAUGUUGUGAUUUCCUAUAUUUUGCCUGCAACAUAGUGUAUGCACACUAGUCUGAAAAAGUCAAAUGUAUUAGGCUUAAAUCUUUGCUUUCAUGACACAGGGCUUUUUUAGUGGGAUGUUUUGUUUUUCUUUCUGUUUUUAACACUGAAAAAGCAAUGAAAUUGUGGCUGAUUUAUGCACGAAAUGAGGAGCAGAAUAACAAGCCUCAUUUGCGUACUGAGUUUAGAAGUCAGUAACACUUGACAUUUGGCCUAAAGAGCAGCAAACAGGUCUAGCAUUGAGCAGGUUGGAGUGGGAAUCAGCCAUCUCCAGCUGUAUGGAGGCAGUAAGCAAAGAAAAGCCAGCUGGGUUUUUGGAUUUACCCAAAUUACAAUAGGAGGCACCUGAAAGGAAGGGAGCAUGGUCACAACAUCACACAGCUGUUGAGAAGAGGAUCUGCUGAUCAUCAGAGUAAUUCCUAUGAAAAAGGCUUUGGUAUCCUUGAGUGUACGGAAAGGAUUGCAAAGGUUCCUGCUGUAAGCUGCAUCACUGCAUGAGGCCAGAAACAUUUAUUUGCAUUUGACACUAAGGUAAGGAAGAAAAAUAAUAAUAAUAAUAAUAAAAAUGGAGGAGGAGAGGGUUCUUGUACUUAAAACCAAUUAAUUUUGAGUUUAUUAUCUUUUUUGUUUACAAGAUGUGCUUGUUCUUUUAACAUGGCGAUUCUUGAAAAUUAUUUUAGCUCUGUGCUUUUGUCUUUUCCUUCCUUCUGGGCUGACGAUUAUUGCCUGAUGCUGAGGGAGACACUUGCUCAUGCUCCUUAACUUCAGUAUUGUGUACUCGCAAGGAUUAGAGGAAGAACACAGGGCUUAAAGGUAGAACGUGAUUCUGUAGAUGGUGGCCUCAGCCUGAAGUGGGAGAAAUGAAUGGGCAAGGUGAAGAAAGCAGCCUUGAGAUUCUGCUGUCCUUUGUCAUGGAUUCUAGAUAGAGACUGAUGUUCACAGCACUGUAACAACUGAGUCAUUCACAUUAAAUUUUCCUCUGAUCCAAUAUCCCAUUGUUGACAGAGGCCAUGAAAAAAAGUACAGUAAUUGAUAUCACAUCAAAAUGA